UGAGGUAGAAUUUGAGCUUUUGUAGAAAAGUCUCUUUCUUUCUCGCUUCGUUUAUUCGCUUCUUUCUUUUAACGACAUUUGCAGUGAUAGGUGGAAUUGUUUGCUCUGAAUCCGCCCUUGCAUGGACGGUUGGUCAGUGGCAAACAGUGACAGUAUCGGUCCACCAACCAGUGCCAUGUAUAACAUCGGAGACUUGAUCUAGGAUUUACCUGAAUGGCACAAUACGGAGGAACCCUUGCUUUUUGGAUGGACUCUGAUAAUUCAGCAUUAGCAAAUGUUGUAGUGACAUUUAAUGGUUGCGACAUAGGUAUGAUGCAACAGAAGAUCAUGUGGUGGCAGACUUUUUCUUAACAUAGACAGAUUCUUACGUGUAGGUAUUAUUUCCAGCACAGUCAUCCUUGUGUGCUUCUCUUCAUCUCUAUUUACUAUUUCUGAAGUUCGUAUUCUGUUUUUUGCAUGUUAAAUCAUCUGUCUUUCCUCGACCUGAUGUACCGUUGAUCUUUCCUUACAUGCCAUUCUUGGAUUUUCGCGAGUAACAAUUCAUGCAGAUGUUACCCGGUGGAGAAGGCGAAAGAUGCUCACGUCAUUGGUAUUUUGAUUGGAACUCUUGGUGUAGGUAUGCUACGUAUAGGGUUGUAUUUUGCAUUCAAGCUUUUCUCUUCAGCUUACGUGUCUCUAGCAUUCUUUGGUAAUAUACCAUUGCAUCAUAAAUGAAUCGGGAUCUAUGGAA
This is a non-coding RNA of Carica papaya (papaya), 730 nucleotides long. The record is from RefSeq and is a predicted model, not a curated record. NCBI's taxonomy places the organism in Eukaryota, Viridiplantae, Streptophyta, Magnoliopsida, Brassicales, Caricaceae.